Molecule: ribosomal RNA, 250 nt
Filed under: Blepharisma stoltei
Lineage: Eukaryota; Ciliophora; Heterotrichea; Heterotrichida; Blepharismidae
Rfam family: Eukaryotic small subunit ribosomal RNA
Source: RNAcentral
AGUAUAAGCAAUUAUACGGCGAGACUGCGAAUGGCUCAUUAAAACAGUUAUAGUUUAUUUGCUAGACGUUUAUAUGGAUAACCGUAGUAAUUCUAGAGCUAAUACAUGCUGGUUACGCUGUGCGUAGUAUUUAUUAGAUAAAACCCAACGGGGGCGACCCUGUGGAGGAAUCAUAAUAACUUAGCGAACUCGACGUAGUGAAGCAUUCAAGUUUCUGCCCUAUCAGCUUUCGAUGGUAGUGUAUUGGACU